AGCCGGUGAUGACAAAAUCAAACAACUUUUCUGACACCUACUAUGAGAGUUGUUCUUCAGCUCCUGAUUCUAACUUCUCUCUGAGGCUU
Small nucleolar RNA from Scomber japonicus (chub mackerel), 89 nucleotides. RefSeq annotates it as small nucleolar RNA SNORD60. The record is from RefSeq and is a predicted model, not a curated record. NCBI's taxonomy places the organism in Eukaryota, Metazoa, Chordata, Actinopteri, Scombriformes, Scombridae. The transcript has a single exon.